CAAAUAUGAGACGAUCAAUUCCAUCAUGAAAUCUUUUAUUGGUCAAAUAAUUUUAAAAAAAUCCUUAAAAAAUUUAAAAAUUUUAAAAUAUUUACUUGUUUUGUGGAUUUUAAUCAAAAUGUUCAAACAAGUUUGAUAUAUAAAUAAGAACAUAAUAAUUAAUUUCACUUAAAUGAGAUUAAAUCACAAAUCCAUUACACCAUUAUGUGAUUCUCAAACGGAUAUCAAACUUUCAAAUACAUAUAUAUGAAAACAGGAAGGAAAGAGAGAGGAGAGUAUCAUCAGCCGAACACAUUCCCUGCUCUUUUGAGGAUAAGAGUGAUAAGGGUUUCGUAAGCCUUCUCUGUAGGAUGAUAGCUAUCCCAGAAUACAUAUUUUGUAUCAUCUUUGCACGUUAAUGGGUCAACAAAGCGAUUGCAAAGGUAAGUCACCUCUAUUUUUCCAGUGCCGCAGCAUCCUUUUGUUGCCACUUCAAAUCCAUAUUUAGCAGGAUUUUGGAUGAGGGAAAUCAGUGGAUUGUAGACGUCAAGAUAUAUAAGAUUGGAAUCAGAAAACGUUGAAUUCAGAGCAUGGAUAGCAGAGGCUAGCUUGGAAUUGAAGAGGAUUGCAGCUUUAUUGGCAUAGUCUAGGCAUUUUCUUUUUAAGCCUCCACGUAUAGUUCUCUGCGAUGGUACACACCCUAUUGGUGGUAAGCUCAGUACUCCAAAUCUUCUUGCCCCAAGACCAUGAAGUUCCUGUCAACGAUUCUGCUCCUCAUUAGAUACACAGAACCAACAAAUUAAUUCAAAACUUGAUACUGAAUUUUAAAAAAUGUUUACUAAUUCAAACUUGAUGCCGAAAGGUUUUAUUAAUAGAAAAUGCACCUGCUUGGGUUUACCAUUUCAAGUGGGGCAUCUUCAGUGACAUUUAGCCAACUUCUUGACUUCACAUUUUACAUUAAUGGACCAAUAUUUAAUUAGAAUCCUAAAAAUUUCUAUAGUUGCAGCAACAUAAUUCUUCAUAUCGGUGUUUUUUAAAUUGACUCCAUCUAUGCAGUGGCUAAGCUAUCAAUAUAAUCAUUCGAAAUUACAAUUGGAUUAAUUUAAUUUAAAAUUUAUAUUAAUUAAAAUAAUUAUGAAUCAGACUGAAACUGACCAGUAUAAUUCAAUGUAAAAUUAAUUUUUUAUUUAAGAAACCUUUUUUUUUUAAAAGUCUAUCACUAAAUUUGAUUGAUAUUAGCUAAAUUGAAAUUGAAUCAGAACUAGGGUAAGGUCUAAAAUUGGGACCAAAAUGAAAUCUUUAAUGUACUCUUGAAUCAGAAUUAGUGAUUCCAUCUUGGAUUAAACCAGAUCACCAACCAAAUCUAAGUUUAAUUGAUUUGAUUUCAUAAAAAUAAUUUUUAAGAUAAAAUUUUUAAAAAUCAAAUUGAAUUUACUAGACUGAUUGAUGGACUGAUAAACGAAUCUUUAAGUUUCAUUUUACCAAACACCCUAAAUAAGCCACCGGUAGCUACCCACUUAAUUGGAAAGCAUCAUCAAGCUUUUCCUGUUAGUUAAUGAAAUGACCUGCUAGAUAGGCAAACUAAUAUAGUUUUGAAUAAUGGGUGCUAUGUUGGAGCUAGAUAUUUAAAAUCUAUUUUUAGACCAUAUAUAAUAUUUCUUUUAUUUACUCUAUUGUUCAAUUUUAAAUAUUAUAAUAAAUAAUAUAUAUCAGUUUUAUUUUAAACAAAUUAUUUAAAAAAAAUUAAUUGAAAUCUUACGUAAUUAUAUUUAAUUUUUAUUUUUUUUGAAAAUAAUUUUUUUAAGUUAAAAAAGAAUUAAAUUUUAAAAAUUGAUUAAAACAUUAAUGGAAUUGAAUUGUUCUAAAAUUUUAGAUUCCUAAUAAGGGAUUAUAACAAAGGUGAUCAUAUACCUUGAUAAAACUUGAAGCUAAGCUAAUCAAGAAAUCCGCAUAGGAAUCAAUGGUGUAGUGAAAUCGCCUAAAUGGAGUAGUAUAAUAAGUAGUAAGAAUAUCGUUGGUUCCUGUGCAGAUUAUGAAUAUGCCUUUGGAUACGAUUGUUGCACUUCUUUCUUCUCCGACUGCUGAAUUUAUCUUUUUUAUGUAAUCUUUGAACUGUUGUAGUUGAUCCGAUAAGGUAAAUGCUGGCUGCAUGAAUUCCAGAAAAUGGAAACAACCUAGUUAAUUAUAAUUAACAACAGAAAUUUAAUCGAAGUCUCGACACAGACAAGAAGGGAAGAGCGAAAAUUACCGGAAGUGAGGAUGUGAUAUUAUCAAAACCAUUACCGCCAGAGGCAAAGCAAACUCCAGUUAGGAGGUCUUCAGUCUGCAGGUUCGGAUCAAGAUAAGCCGGCAACAGUUUCUUUACACCAAAUGCUUCAGCUGAUGAAAAUUUUUGCACAACAUUUAUUUUGAGAGUAAACUUUCUUUAUGCAUAAAUUAUUUAGCGUUCAAUCACAGACUGUAUUUAUGAGACUAUGGCCUCAUUAAUUUGGUAUUCUGAUUCAAUGUCAAAAAAGCAUUUUUGAGAAGAAAUAUUAUUUUAGAUGCAGUUAAAAUAAUAGUUUAGAAAAAUUAUUUUUCUAUUUAAUGUUACCAUGAUAAAAAUAUUUUAAAUUUAAUUUUUAAUAAAUUUUUAAUAUUUUUUAAUUAAU
This 2630-nucleotide unclassified non-coding RNA is filed under the name Hevea brasiliensis (rubber tree). Lineage: Eukaryota; Viridiplantae; Streptophyta; Magnoliopsida; Malpighiales; Euphorbiaceae. The record is from RNAcentral.